GUGAGAACCAAACCAGGCUCCCUUCCCACUCAUUUAUUUUCCACCAACAUGUCAAGAAUAAAUCCAACAAGCAACACACAAGCAUCCUAGCGAUGCACAAACAACUAACAAGCAAUGAUGUCUCCAACCCGCCUAUCACACAAGGCCACACCUCCCAGUCACACAGACUAGGACAACAUCUCCCAUGUCACACAGACAUAAUACCAGGCAGUCACACAUACACACCUCCAGCCAUACAGGCUCCGGAAGGAUCGUCGUACCUUCCCCCACCGUUGAAUUACCGCUAUAGUCACACAGACAACAAUAGCGCAGCAAACAAGUCCAUACCUCGACACAUCAUCACCGAGAUGAACACCUGAUCUAGCUACAUUACCAAUCACUACCACACAUCAGGGUGAACAAUCAAAUAUGCUGGUUCUUCCUCUGAUGAGAUCUUAAUUCAUUUCAUUAGACUCACACAUGGAUCUAGCUAGAUGCACAAGGAAACAUCCUAGACUCAUCAGAUCUAGACUCCACACACCAGAAGAAGACAAAUGAAUAAGAAGAAGACCCUAGAUCUAAUCCUCACCUUGGCCUAAAAGCAGAUCUGACUUAAGGAGAACUGGUGGCAAAGGAAUCAAGGAGUUUCUGCGAAGGAGGAGGCUGACGACCACUCCUUGUCCUCUCAGACGGCAGCGGCGGUGAGCUCAGGCGGCUGCGGCGGCUGGAAAAAUACCUCAGAGUCAUGGUCGUUGCUUACAGCGAUGCUGGGUUGAUUUUGAUCGAGGCAGUGCCUAUCGUCGGAAAACUAUCCUUUUACGUGGAUAAUCCGGUUUCUAGGGAAUUUGUAAAAAUCCUUCCUCCAAGGUUUCAUCAGAAGGCAAUUCACUAUCCGUUGGGUAUUGUCACACGAAUCGAUAACGGCGUCCUUUUGAGUUAUAAAAUUAUUUCUUAUGAUGGAAAACAGAACUACAACUACUGCAAGAUUUUAAGGUUAAUGAUAUAUUCAUCUGAGACAGGCUUGUGGAAUGACGAAACUGUCCAUUUGCCUUUCUCCUUUGAGUUAAUUAAUAAAUGUAGGUGCUCCAUUAGCUUGAACGGAAAUCUUUACUUGCUAGCCUGCAAGGAUGACCUUAAAGAAUUUGUUUUGUCCAUCGAUUACAACGCCACUUGCCGUGUAACUCCUUUCCCUGAUUUAGACAAACGUCGUAAAUUCGAAAGAUUUUUCACAACUUCUCAAGGGAAUCUCAUGUAUAUGAACAUAUUCUUCCAUGAUGGAAGUCUCGAUCAUAAGUUAUUCUUCCAUGAUGGAAGUCUCGAUCAUAAGUUAUGUGUAUGGACGCUAAAGAGCUGGGAAUGGCAACUAGUAUCUGAAAUCUCUGCGGAUUUUACCAAGACCUUUCAGUUGGCAAUAAACCUUUUUGAUGCUACAACAGCUUACUUUCGGUGCAUGAAGCGCCACUGUUUGCUAUCUAUUAACUUAGACAAUGGGGAGUUUGUUAGAUACCUGAAAGAUAACAUCUUUGAAUGUUACUAUUCCUCAUUCGUUCUCCCUUAAUGGCUGCAUCGGAUCCCCAAGACAGUGAGGAGAGUCUAGACAUAGUGUUUGCAAGGCUUCUUUAUAUUUGCUAAUUACUGAGUUUGGUUCCAUAGGCAAGAUGAAGAAUUGUAGGAUGGUAUUGUACGGUUUAUUUUAAGUGGUUUUGUUUUAUUUAUGAAAUUGGCUACGGCCCUGAGAUAUUAGUGUUUUCUAUAUUCAGACUUCACUAAACAUCCGACCAAAAUAAAUAGAGUCAUAUGGAUUGCAAAAACCGAGCUGGAAAGUGUUUGGAUAGGGUUUAGGAAAACGGCACAAAAUUUUGGAUCUUCAACUGUUUAUUUAAUUUAACCAGCUUCAACUCUUGCCAAUAAGAAUAAGAGGUGUUAAGUUUGGAACCUAGAGUAAGAUUGUAACCAGCUUUCAGCUUUCAACACAUUUUUUUCUGGGGAUAUAUAAUUUACAUUGUAUGAUCUUUCUGGUUCAGAAUCCGUUCUUGAGCCAUAGCGUUGAGAUUGUUGUUUCUAUGACCAAGGUGGUUUUUGUCACCCGAUACAUUGUAAUCUCUUCAAGAUGAGUAGCCCACUCCAAAUAUGAAUAUAAAAGUAUUACAAUAUUUCGACUGAUUAAGCAGGAGUGGUAAGGUGAUAUUGUUCUCUGGACCUUUAACGGAAAUCCUGAGCGUUGAGAUUGUUGUUAACUCAUUAUACAACUUGAAGAAUAAUGUUUGAUUUAGUUGACAGAGAAGAGAAAAAGGUUAAAAAUCCAUUACCAUAUCUGACAUCUAAUGAACAAAAAGAGAUAUCAGAAUCUCUGUUUAUUUUGAUUCACUUGAAUAGAUUGAACGAUGGUCAUAUUUAAAAAUGAAGUGGUGGUGAAUGAAUUAGUGAUUCCUAUUUGUUAACGAGUUGUUUUGUAGGUACUUCUUCAUGCUUAGUUAUGUUUAAGAAACACUAGACUUAAUCACUUAAACGACGUAAUAUUGUCACUCAAACUUAUGUUUAUGUUCUUCUUACUUGUGUCACUCAAAGAAUGGUUCAAUAUUCAUUAGUGGAUGUUAAUGAAUGGUUAUUUACGUUAACUCCACAAAACGCAAAACAGAUACUAUUCCAAAUUCACACUCACUGCAUCACACUUCUCGACAAAACACAUGGCAAAAACCAGAGUGGAAAAAAUAUAAGUGUAAUUUUGAUGCGAGCUUUAAUCAUGAAAAUCUCCACUCUAAUGUAGGAUGGGUUGUAACAGAUCAUUGUGGCAUACAGUAUUUUUGGGGUUCAGCAUCGAUUGGACAAACAAUCCUCACCACUGGAGGCAGAAGCUAAAGCUCUACUCUUGGCAAUGCAACAAGUCUGGUGUACAGGACUUUGAUCACUAUGUUUUGAAGGAGAUUGUAAAACACUCUUUGAUGUCUUAGAAAAGAAAUCUGCUGAGUUCACUAUCCAAAAUAUAUGCAGUGAUAUCUCUCAUUGGACAUCAAAAUUUGUGGAAUGUAAACUUCAACAUACAAAAAGAUCAAACGAUAUUCUAGCUCACCUGCUUGCCAAAAAGGGUCCUCCAAAUUCCAUUUUCUUUUCUUCAAAGUUGUAUCCACCAAGAUGGUUAUCAGUUUCUUUGUAUUCUGAUUAUGUAAACUCAUUUUAAAAUAAAUAAAAUUCACUUUUGCCGAAAAAAAAAAAAAAACUUGUGUCACUCAAACGACUGUGGUUUUGUCAUUUUACCGAAACGAGACGUUUUGGUGCUUCUUCUCUGUUAUUCUUGAAUCUUCACUCGAGUCGCCAUUUCAGCAUUUCAGAUUCUCAGAAAAGAAACCCUAAAUCCUUGCUUCUUCUCCCCUCACUCUCAAUUCGUCUGCCUCUUGAUCCUUGUGGGUUAGUCAGAACAGAAAAACCCACUAGUAGUUCGUUCUAUUCGAUUUGACAAAUAUGCUUAUACAAAAUUGAAACUGGGCAUGGACUUUAGGGAUUGCAUGUUUGUUCUUAGCUUCUAGGCUCUUUUCUUGUUACUCUCUUAAUAUUUUAUGUAAAUGUUCACUCUUUCCUCUGUUUUUCCCCCUUUCACUCUUUUUGGUAUGUAAUUUGUCUUCUGUUCCGUGAUGUUGAUAUCUGGGUAUGAUCAAAUUCAUAAAUUUUGUAUCUUUGAUCUCUUACAAUCUCUAUUUGUAUGAUCAGUUUCAUAACUUUUGUCUCUUUGAUCUCUUACAAUCUCUAUUUGGGUUUUCUUAUUCAUGAUUGUUUUGGCGAUUUAAGUUCCUCGAAUCUUGUAUUUGUGUUUGCUCUUCUGCUGAGAAUUGGAUUAUGCUAUGAAGCGAAUAGUUGUGGUUUAAACCCUGUUAGCACUUUUUUUUUUAUUUUGAGUUUCUGAAUCGUUUCAUAUGCCUACUUGCCAUUAAGCAGAUAUUGAUUUCAAUGUCACUUUUAAUUUAUGCAGGAUGGAUUCGCAGUCACAGGAGGAAGCAAUUGCGGCUCUUAAUGCUGAGAAUGAAUGGGAAAUGAAUAAGUGUGACUUUGAAAAUCAGGAACCAGCAAGAAACGAGACUCAAGCGACUCAAACGGUUUUUAAUUCUAAUCGAAGCCUGAGAGCUGAUGUCUGGAAAGAGUUUGUGUCGGUGGGAAAAGGGGAAGAUGGCAAAGAAAGGGGUCGUUGCAUCCAUUGUAGUAAGAGUUUUGUAAUAGAGAGGAAUAAUGGAACAUCAGCUUUAAGGCGCCAUUUACUAUCUGCUUGCUCAAAGAAGCCUAAAGAUAAAAGUGGAAGCAAUGGUGAACAAGACAAAGAAGUGGGAGCCUCAGUUUCCGAAUCCUCCUGCGACAGAGAAGAAGUGAGCAACAUUCUCUCGAAAAAGAGACAGCGUAGUUCGAUAUCGGAGGACAAGACACGCUCGGCGAUGCUGCUCGGUCUGGAUAUUCUCGACUGUCCCAUUUGCUUCGAAGCACUAACUGUUCCUAUCUUUCAGGUAUUGUUUCUGAUCUUUUUUAAAGAGUUUCUUUUUCUUGUAACUAGAACUGUCCAUCCCUUGAAAUGUGGUUUCGCUAUGAGUCAAACUCUGCAGAGGAUAGUUAAUGCAUCCAUAGCUUUUGUUGAUUUUAGGUUUCUGGCAAAGUUUGACUCUUUGUUUCUAAAAGAUUUAUAUUCCACAUUUUGUGAAGCUAUAUGCUGAUAAAGACACAUUUUUUACAAAACCCAUGUUUACAAAUGUAGUUCUUGAAAAUGUGUGUAUAACUAUGGAAGAUCUAGUAUAUAUCAUGAACUAUCGAUUCCCAAUUGAGGUUUUUUGUAACGCUUCAUUUGGGUUUUCUACUGUGACAAUGCGAUUUGCUUACUGUUUUCAAAGUUCAUGUUCCAGGUUUUGGUUUCUUAUCUGUUUCAACCUAAAAACAGUUUAUCUCACUUUAAAGAGUUUCCUUUUCUUGUAACAAGAAUUGUCCAUCCCUGGAAAUGUUGUUUCGUUACUCUGCAGAUGAUAGUUGGAGUAUCCAUAGCUUUUGUUGAUUUUAGGAUUCUGGCAAAAUUUGAUUGUUGUUUUUUUAAAAAAUUUAGGUUCACCUUUUAUGAAGCUAUAUGAUGAUAAAAGACACAUUUUUUAAAAUGUGUGUAUAACUAUGCAAGAUCGAGUAUAUUUCAUGAACUAUCAAAUACUAUAUCGAUGAAUCCUCUCCAUGAAUUAUAUUAAUUACCAAUUGAGGUUUUUUUGUAAAGCUUCAUUUGGGUUUAUUUACUUUGACAAUGCGAUUUGUAUGUUAAACUGAUUUCAAAGUUCAUGCUCUCUUCAUUGCUAUUUGAUAUUCACUGCGAGGAAAUAUUUUCUCUUCUUGAAUAUAUUCAUUACCUAAAGAAGUGGAAAACCCUUUGCUAAGUUUCUUUUCAGGAAUAUGUGCGGUUAUUAAAGCUUUGAUCGAAACUCGUUGGUUUUGCAUUUCAGUGUGAUAAUGGGCAUUUGGCUUGCUCUUCGUGCCGUCCCAAGCUGAGUAAUAAGUGUCCUGCAUGUGCUUCUCCUAUUGGCCACAAUCGCUGCAGAGCAAUGGAGACUGUGCUCGAAUCAGUCUUUCUUCCAUGUCCAAACGCCAAGCUUGGAUGCACCAAGAAUGUCUCUUACGGGAAAGAAUCAACUCAUGAAAAGGAAUGCACUUUCUCUCAAUGCACCUGCCCUGCAUUGGACUGCAAUUACACCGGAUCAUAUAAUCAGAUAUAUAGUCAUUUUGUUGAUGACCACAGUCACAAACCCAAAUCUAUGUCCUUUGUGUGCGGUGGUUCUGUUGAUGUUCAGAUGAACGUGGCUAGCGACAAGAUGUUAGUUCUUUGGGAAUUCAAGAAGAAACUAUUGUUUGCACUUCAGUGUUUCAAUGAGCCGGCUGGUGUGUAUGUGACCGUUAGAUGCAUCGCACCAUCUUCUCCUGAAGUAGAAAAGUUUCCGUAUUGUCUCUCCUACUCAAUGGAUGGGCACACUCUUACUUAUGAAUCACCAGA
This 5977-nucleotide long non-coding RNA is filed under the name Eutrema salsugineum. RNAcentral's name for it is "long non-coding RNA (ESAL_LNC001587)". The record is from RNAcentral. Lineage: Eukaryota; Viridiplantae; Streptophyta; Magnoliopsida; Brassicales; Brassicaceae.